This 465-nucleotide ribosomal RNA is filed under the name Vreelandella stevensii. RNAcentral's name for it is "partial 16S ribosomal RNA". It matches the Rfam family "Bacterial small subunit ribosomal RNA", at positions 338 to 795 of the family's 1533-position model. The record is from RNAcentral. Lineage: Bacteria; Pseudomonadati; Pseudomonadota; Gammaproteobacteria; Oceanospirillales; Halomonadaceae.
CCUACGGGAGGCUGCAGUGGGGAAUAUUGGACAAUGGGGGCAACCCUGAUCCAGCCAUGCCGCGUGUGUGAAGAAGGCCCUCGGGUUGUAAAGCACUUUCAGUGAGGAAGAACGCCUGGUGGUUAAUACCCAUCAGGAAAGACAUCACUCACAGAAGAAGCACCGGCUAACUCCGUGCCAGCAGCCGCGGUAAUACGGAGGGUGCGAGCGUUAAUCGGAAUUACUGGGCGUAAAGCGCGCGUAGGUGGCUUGAUAAGCCGGUUGUGAAAGCCCCGGGCUCAACCUGGGAACGGCAUCCGGAACUGUCAAGCUAGAGUGCAGGAGAGGAAGGUAGAAUUCCCGGUGUAGCGGGGAAAUGAGUAGAGAUCGGGAGGAAUACCAGUGGCGAAGGCGGCCUUCUGGACUGACACUGACACUGAGGUGCGAAAGCGUGGGUAGCAAACAGGAAUAGAUACCCGAGUAGUA